GAUGAACGCUAGCUACAGGCUUAACACAUGCAAGUCGCGGGGCAGCAUGGGGGUUGCUUGCAAUCCCCGAUGGCGACCGGCGCACGGGUGAGUAACGCGUAUCCAACCUGCCCUUCACCACGGGAUAACCCGGCGAAAGUCGGACUAAUACCGUAUGUUGUCCAUUGACGGCAUCCGAUUUGGACGAAAGGUUUGGCGGUGAAGGAUGGGGAUGCGUCCGAUUAGCUGGACGGCGGGGUGACGGCCCACCGUGGCGACGAUCGGUAGGGGUUCUGAGAGGAAGGUCCCCCACACUGGAACUGAGACACGGUCCAGACUCCUACGGGAGGCAGCAGUGAGGAAUAUUGAUCAAUGGGCGUAAGCCUGAACCAGCCAAGUAGCGUGCAGGAUGUCGGCCCUAUGGGUUGUAAACUGCUUUUAUGCGGGGAUAAAGUGGCCCACGUGUGGGUUUUUGCAGGUACCGCAUGAAUAAGGACCGGCUAAUUCCGUG
Molecule: ribosomal RNA, 490 nt
Filed under: uncultured bacterium
Lineage: Bacteria
Description: partial 16S ribosomal RNA
Rfam family: Bacterial small subunit ribosomal RNA
Source: RNAcentral